UGCCAGCCGCCGCGGUAAUACGUAUGGUGCAAACGUUGUUCGGAAUCACUGGGCAUAAAGAGCACGUAGGUGGUUUGGUAAGUCUGAUGUGAAAUCCCACGGCUCAACCGUGGAACUGCAUCGGAUACUGCCGAACUCGAGUACGGUAGGGGAGAGUGGAAUUCCUGGUGGAGCGGUGAAAUGCGUAGAUAUCAGGAGGAACGCCGGCGGCGAAAGCGACUCUCUGGACCGAUACUGACACUGAGGUGCGAAAGCCAGGGGAGCGAACGGGAUUAGAUA
Molecule: ribosomal RNA, 279 nt
Filed under: uncultured bacterium
Lineage: Bacteria
Description: partial 16S ribosomal RNA
Rfam family: Bacterial small subunit ribosomal RNA
Source: RNAcentral